GCCUGGUGUGGUGGUGUAUGCCUGUAGUCCCAGCUGCUCAGGAGGCUGAGGUAGGAGGAUUGCUUGAGCCUAGGAGUUCUAGGCGGUAGUGCACUAUGCUGACUGGUGUCCGCAUUAAGUUCAGCGUUAAUAUGGUUACCUCCCGGAGAGGGGGAUCACCAGGUUACCUAAGGAGCGGUGAACCAGCCCAGGUCGGAAACAGCAAGUCAAAACUCCCAUGCUGAUCAGUACUGGGAUCGCACCUGUGAAUAGCCACUGCACUCCAGCCUGGGCAACAUAGCAAGACCCCUGUCUCU
This 296-nucleotide signal recognition particle RNA is filed under the name Callithrix jacchus (white-tufted-ear marmoset). RNAcentral's name for it is "Metazoan signal recognition particle RNA (ENSCJAG00000087274.1)". It matches the Rfam family "Metazoan signal recognition particle RNA". Rfam says of the family: The signal recognition particle (SRP) is a universally conserved ribonucleoprotein. It is involved in the co-translational targeting of proteins to membranes. The record is from Rfam by way of RNAcentral. Lineage: Eukaryota; Metazoa; Chordata; Mammalia; Primates; Cebidae.